GAUGAACGCUAGCGGCAGGCUUAAUACAUGCAAGUCGAGGGGCAGCAUGACUGUAGCAAUACAGUUGAUGGCGACCGGCAAACGGGUGCGGAACACGUACAGAACCUUCCUUCGAGCGGGGAAUAGCCCAGAGAAAUUUGGAUUAAUACCCCAUAGCAUAUUGAAGUGGCAUCACUUUAAUAUUAAAGAUUUAUCACUUGAAGAUGGCUGUGCGGCUGAUUAGGUAGUUGGCGGGGUAACGGCCCACCAAGCCUGCGAUCAGUAACUGGUGUGAGAGCACGACCAGUCACACGGGCACUGAGACACGGGCCCGACUCCUACGGGAGGCAGCAGUAAGGAAUAUUGGUCAAUGGACGAAAGUCUGAACCAGCCAUGCCGCGUGGAGGAUGAAGGUCCUCUGGAUUGUAAACUUCUUUUAUAUGGGACGAAAAAAGGCCUUUCUAGGCCGUCUGACGGUACCAUAUGAAUAAGCACCGGCUAACUCCGUG
RNAcentral lists this ribosomal RNA (488 nucleotides) under uncultured organism. RNAcentral describes it as "bacterial SSU rRNA". It matches the Rfam family "Bacterial small subunit ribosomal RNA", at positions 28 to 507 of the family's 1533-position model. The record is from RNAcentral.